Molecule: ribosomal RNA, 165 nt
Filed under: uncultured bacterium
Lineage: Bacteria
Description: partial 16S rRNA
Rfam family: Bacterial small subunit ribosomal RNA
Source: RNAcentral
UAGGGAAUCUUCGGCAAUGGGGGCAACCCUGACCGAGCAACGCCGCGUGAGUGAAGAAGGUUUUCGGAUCGUAAAGCGCUGUUGUAAGAGAAGAACGUGUGUGAGAGUGGAAAGUUCACACAGUGACGGUAACUUACCAGAAAGGGACGGCUAACUACGUGCCAG